Non-coding RNA from Stegodyphus mimosarum, 73 nucleotides. NCBI's taxonomy places the organism in Eukaryota, Metazoa, Arthropoda, Arachnida, Araneae, Eresidae. The record is from Rfam.
GCCUUCGUGAUGUAAUGGUCAGCACACUGAGCCGGUAUUUCAGAGGUCCGCGGUUCGAUUCCCGGCGAAGGCG